CAUUGACCAAAAACGCUAAAACAGUCCUACCUCCUAAGCGUCAUAAGAUGCAGCUAUGAGAAAACACAUACCCUAUGCUAAUCUCACACUUUCAUCUUUCAAGUAAACCCAUACCCCCGACCAGCAGUGUCCAGUAAAGCAGGAAGUCUAUGGAUGGGGUAAAAGGGUGGGCCACUAACACAAAUCACAUAACCAGAACUGCUGAAAG
Molecule: non-coding RNA, 208 nt
Organism: Pelobates cultripes (western spadefoot toad)
Lineage: Eukaryota; Metazoa; Chordata; Amphibia; Anura; Pelobatidae
Source: the annotation of a GenBank genome assembly